RNAcentral lists this ribosomal RNA (259 nucleotides) under uncultured bacterium. Its description in RNAcentral is "partial 16S ribosomal RNA". It matches the Rfam family "Bacterial small subunit ribosomal RNA", at positions 29 to 314 of the family's 1533-position model. The record is from RNAcentral.
AACGAACGCUGGCGGCAGGCCUAACACAUGCAAGUCGAACGCUGUAGCAAUACAGAGUGGCAGACGGGUGAGUAACGCGUGGGAACCUUCCCAGUGGUGCGGAAUAGCUCAGGGAAACUUGAGGUAAUACCGCAUAAGCCCCUAGGGGAAAGGAUUUAUCGCCAUUGGAUGGGCCCGCGUCGGAGUUAGCUAGUUGGUGAGGUAAUGGCUCACCAAGGCAACGAUCCGUAGCNGGUUUGAGAGAAUGACCAGCCACACU